AAGUAGGUGGCAAGCGUUGUCCGGAUUUACUGGGUGUAAAGGGCGAGUAGGCGGGCCUGCAAGUCAGUAGUGAAAUACCACGGCUUAACCGUGGCACUGCUAUUGAAACUGCGGUUAUUGAGUAAUGGAGAGGCGGGCGUAAUUCCCUGUGUAGCGGUGGAAUGCGAAGAGAUCGGGAGCAACACCAGUGGCGAAGGCGGCCUGCUGGACAUCAACUGACGCUUAGGAGCGAAAGCGUUUGGAGGAAACAG
RNAcentral lists this ribosomal RNA (251 nucleotides) under uncultured prokaryote. Its description in RNAcentral is "partial 16S rRNA". It matches the Rfam family "Bacterial small subunit ribosomal RNA", at positions 525 to 775 of the family's 1533-position model. The record is from RNAcentral.